AUGGCUGGCUUGGUGACUCUGACUGCACCUCUUCUUGUGUUGGUGUGUUAGAAAUAAUUGUUGCUUUUUGUACCCAUACCUAUUUGGACGGCGAGGUGGACUUUGAUGAGGGAGCUCCAUCUUCAAUGAUGUCUUCUUCUUGUUCUUCGGGAGUUGGAUCACUCCUCAAUACUUCUUCAUAGUCAGCCCAUCCGUAUUUUAGGAUUUGUCUUGUUUGAUGUCGAGAUCGGUGCCUCCUUGAUUUGUUCUUCUUGGGUUCUUCACAAAUUGUAUAAUUAGUGAAAUAUCGACAUACCUUCUUAGAUGGGAAUUAGAAGUGAACUUCUCCCGUCCCAAUAUAGAUGAUUGCUCUAUGGUGUUGAGGAACGGUCUUCCAAGGAUGAGUGGCAGAUCAUAGUCAUCU
RNAcentral lists this long non-coding RNA (403 nucleotides) under Sorghum bicolor (sorghum). RNAcentral describes it as "long non-coding RNA (SBIC_LNC010895)". The record is from RNAcentral. Lineage: Eukaryota; Viridiplantae; Streptophyta; Magnoliopsida; Poales; Poaceae.